UACGUAGGGGGCAAGCGUUGUCCGGAUUUAUUGGGCGUAAAGAGCGUGUAGGCGGUUUGGUAGGUCCGUUGUGAAAACUCGAGGCUCAACCUCGAGACGCCGAUGGAAACCAUCAGACUAGAGUCCGGAAGAGGAGAGUGGAAUUCCCGGUGUAGCGGUGAAAUGCGCAGAUAUCAGGAAGAACACCCGUGGCUAAGGCGGCUCUCUAGUACGGUACUGACGCUGAGACGCGAAAGCGUGGGGAGCGAACAGG
Molecule: ribosomal RNA, 253 nt
Filed under: uncultured bacterium
Lineage: Bacteria
Description: partial 16S ribosomal RNA
Rfam family: Bacterial small subunit ribosomal RNA
Source: RNAcentral